AUUGAACGCUGGCGGCAUGCUUUACACAUGCAAGUCGAACGGCAGCGCGGGGCGACCUGGCGGCGAGUGGCGAACGGGUGAGUAAUAUAUCGGAACGUACCCAGAAGUGGGGGAUAACGUAGCGAAAGUUACGCUAAUACCGCAUACGAUCUACGGAUGAAAGUGGGGGACCUUCGGGCCUCAUGCUUUUGGAGCGGCCGAUAUCUGAUUAGCUAGUUGGUGAGGUAAAGGCUCACCAAGGCGACGAUCAGUAGCUGGUCUGAGAGGACGACCAGCCACACUGGGACUGAGACACGGCCCAGACUCCUCCGGGAGGCAGCAGUGGGGAAUUUUGGACAAUGGGCGCAAGCCUGAUCCAGCAAUGCCGCGUGAGUGAAGAAGGCCUUCGGGUUGUAAAGCUCUUUUGUCAGGGAAGAAACGGCCGAGGAUAAUACCCUCGGCUAAUGACGGUACCUGAAGAAUAAGCACCGGCUAACUACGUGCCAGCCGCCGCGGUAA
This 498-nucleotide ribosomal RNA is filed under the name uncultured bacterium. RNAcentral's name for it is "partial 16S ribosomal RNA". It matches the Rfam family "Bacterial small subunit ribosomal RNA", at positions 30 to 523 of the family's 1533-position model. The record is from RNAcentral.